Molecule: ribosomal RNA, 440 nt
Filed under: uncultured bacterium
Lineage: Bacteria
Description: partial 16S ribosomal RNA
Rfam family: Bacterial small subunit ribosomal RNA
Source: RNAcentral
CCUACGUGAGGCAGCAGUGGGGAAUAUUGCACAAUGGGGGAAACCCUGAUGCAGCGACGCCGCGUGAGUGAAGAAGUAAUUCGUUAUGUAAAGCUCUAUCAGCAGGGAAGAAAAUGACGGUACCUGAGUAAGAAGCCCCGGCUAACUACGUGCCAGCAGCCGCGGUAAUACGUAGGGGGCACGCGUUAUCCGGAUUUACUGGGUGUAAAGGGAGCGUAGACGGCAGUGCAAGUCUGGAGUGAAAGGCGGGGGCUCAACCCCCGGACUGCUCUGGAAACUGUACGGCUGGAGUGCAGGAGAGGUAAGUGGAAUUCCUAGUGUAGCGGUGAAAUGCGUAGAUAUUAGGAGGAACACCAGUGGCGAAGGCGGCUUACUGGACUGUAACUGACGUUGAGGCUCGAAAGCGUGGGGAGCAAACAGGAUUAGAUACCCGAGUAGUC